AACGAACGCUGGCGGCAGGCUUAACACAUGCAAGUCGAGCGAGGACUUCGGUCCUAGCGGCGGACGGGUGAGUAACGCGUGGGAACGUGCCCAUUCCUCCGGAAUAGCCCUGGGAAACCGGGAGUAAUGCCGGAUACGCCCUCUCGUAGCGAUACGGGCGGGGAAAGAUUUAUCGGGGAAGGAUCGGCCCGCGUCGGAUUAGGUAGUUGGUGGGGUAACGGCCCACCAAGCCGACGAUCCGUAGCUGGUUUGAGAGGAUGAUCAGCCACACUGGGACUGAGACACGGCCCAGACUCCUACGGGUGGCAG
This 309-nucleotide ribosomal RNA is filed under the name uncultured Pseudomonadota bacterium. RNAcentral describes it as "bacterial SSU rRNA". It matches the Rfam family "Bacterial small subunit ribosomal RNA", at positions 29 to 351 of the family's 1533-position model. The record is from RNAcentral. Lineage: Bacteria; Pseudomonadati; Pseudomonadota.